AUAUAUAUACAUCCAUGCUGACGAUAUCGGAAAUUCAUAAGUCCCCCUUAUUACAAGACCUCUAAUGAUCAAGUUAAUAUAAGAUAAAUUUUAUCAAGCUUAAAAAGAAAAAUGGUAAGAAAUUUAAAAAUAUGAGAGAUUGUUUAGAGAAUGAAGAGGGUUUUUCCUUUUUCUUCUCCCAAAAUGUUUUUUCUUUUUAUUUAGGGAAGGCAACGGGUCGAAUUUUUAUGGGUACUCGAUCUGACCAAACUUAAUAUGACAGAUUUAGGUAGUACAUAAUCGGGUCAGGUUUAAAAUUUAAUACCCGAAGCUGUUUAUAUAAAUAUUCAAUUAAAUAUAAAAUAUAUGUUUUUUAUAAUAAUAUUUAUAAAAUUUUACAUGUUUUAUUUUAUAUAAAGCGAAAUUUAAAUAUUU
This 414-nucleotide unclassified non-coding RNA is filed under the name Hevea brasiliensis (rubber tree). Lineage: Eukaryota; Viridiplantae; Streptophyta; Magnoliopsida; Malpighiales; Euphorbiaceae. The record is from RNAcentral.